RNAcentral lists this long non-coding RNA (311 nucleotides) under Linum usitatissimum (flax). RNAcentral describes it as "long non-coding RNA (LUSI_LNC007957)". The record is from RNAcentral. Lineage: Eukaryota; Viridiplantae; Streptophyta; Magnoliopsida; Malpighiales; Linaceae.
CUAGGAUCUACUCUUCACAUUGGUUUGGUUUAGUAACAAGAAUCGUAGUAAUGUUCUGCAAACUAAGGCUUGGUUUGGUAACAAGAAUCAUAAUUUGUAGGAAAGUUGAGUUAAAGAAGACUAGUGGAAAAGGUUGAAUUGAGGUAAAGGAAAUGAGGAAGUUUACCAAAAUCAAGUUCCGAAUCAUCGGACUUUGCAGGUAAGUGAACUCUGUGAACGAAGACAUUAUUGCAACACAAGUUCUUCAGUAGCAUCCACAGGUAACUGAUGGACAGAGCACAUGGGAGGGGAUGGAUGAUCUACUGAUCGAA